This 480-nucleotide ribosomal RNA is filed under the name uncultured bacterium. Its description in RNAcentral is "partial 16S ribosomal RNA". It matches the Rfam family "Bacterial small subunit ribosomal RNA", at positions 28 to 507 of the family's 1533-position model. The record is from RNAcentral.
GAUGAACGCUGGCGGCGUGCCUAACACAUGCAAGUCGAACGGAGAUUACGGACGGAAGUUUUCGGAUGGAAGCCUGUAAUUCUUAGUGGCGGACGGGUGAGUAACGCGUGGGCAACCUGCCCUAUACAGGGGGAUAGCAGCUGGAAACGGCUGGUAAGACCGCAUAAGUCGGUUAAAUCGCAUGAUUUGAUCGGGAAAUGAGCAUCAGGUAUAGGAUGGGCCCGCGUCCGAUUAGCCAGUUGGCAGGGUAAAAGCCUACCAAAGCGACGAUCGGUAGCCGGACUGAGAGGUCGGACGGCCACAUUGGGACUGAGACACGGCCCAAACUCCUACGGGAGGCAGCAGUGGGGGAUAUUGCACAAUGGAGGAAACUCUGAUGCAGCGACGCCGCGUGAGUGAAGAAGUAUUUCGGUAUGUAAAGCUCUAUCAGCAGGGAAGAUGAUGACGGUACCUGACUAAGAAGCCCCGGCUAACUACGUG